ACGUGGGGAACCCUGCCCCAUAGUCUGGGAUACCACUUGGAAACAGGUGCUAAUACCGGAUAAGAAAGCGGAUCGCAUGAUCAGCUUUUAAAAGGCGUCGUAAGCUGUCGCUAUGGGAUGGCCCCGCGGUGCAUUAGCUAGUUGGUAAGGUAAAGGCUUACCAAGGCGAUGAUGCAUAGCCGAGUUGAGAGACUGAUCGGCCACACUGGGACUGAGACACGGCCCAAACUCCUACGGGAGGCAGCAGGG
Molecule: ribosomal RNA, 249 nt
Filed under: uncultured Lactobacillus sp.
Lineage: Bacteria; Bacillati; Bacillota; Bacilli; Lactobacillales; Lactobacillaceae
Description: partial 16S ribosomal RNA
Rfam family: Bacterial small subunit ribosomal RNA
Source: RNAcentral